AUAAACUCAGAGAAGCUACAAAGCUUUGUCUUUGAGACUCUUUGAUUUUAGAUAGAAAAUUAAACACACGAAACGUAUUGCAAACCGAGUAACAAGCAAUGAAUCAUGCAUACAAUAUGGUAUGCACAAAAUACUGCAGACGUUAGAACUUUUAAUAAUCAAACACUUUGCAGUAAAAAAAAGUCUUGCAAAACAAGUGACAAUGAAUUCCUCAUACAAUAAGGUAUGCACAAAAUACUGCAAAGAAAUGCAUGAUGUUUACUAAAUAAUCAAACCAAAUAUUGCUUCGAUAAGUGAAUAAAUUAAACCAAUAGCCACGUAUUAAGCAGAGUUAUGUAUAGGGAACAGUUAGCUCCAGAGAAAUAAAGAUAUAACGGUGAACAAGAGCCAGACAAAGUGACCAGUUGGCUAUAGCCAGCCAGGCCUACAUUAAAGAUAAACAAAUUAAAGUCACUGUAUUUCUGUCUUUUCCCGUUUUUCCUCCUCUUCUUUCGUUCUCUUCCUCCCCUGGGCGCCAGAGUGUUUAGGUUUCUUUGACAUUUUGAUGUGCAAAUAGAUAGCUUUCUCCUAUCCGGUCAGAAUGAUGUAUCAAUUGGGUAACUAAGGUAACUUGUCCCUCCCAACCUCCCGAUUCAGGUAGAGUCUAUGGGGGGGGGACGGGGGGACGGGGCGGGGGACACGGAAACUAGGGCGCUCUUUUAUUUUACAUGUUAUGUUGUCUAAUAUUUAUUUCGACAUAACUACUGGUAGUAACUAAUAUAAACAUUGAAGUUAAAAUUAGAUGAAUACAGUAUGCAAUUUUUUUUUACAUUUAUUGUAAUUUAAUGUUAUGAGCAAAGAUAACAUAUAUUAGAUGAGGAUACAAUCAGGGAAAGCUGCUGUGGGUAAGUUUGGAGAGUUGUAAAGAGAGAGCAGAAGAGAGAAGAAGAGAGCUGCCCUCUCUGCUCCUCCCCAUCUCUGAGUAGCAUCUCACGCACCUGUGAUUGACAGUUGCGACUUCUUGGUACCUUCAUCCAGACGCAGAAGGGAUGGGUUACAAAUGGUCCCUUUACGUUGGGUGUUGCACAAUGAAACAGUUGCACAAUGAAGCAGUAACGGCAGAUCAGUGGCAAAAGCUCCCAAAGCUUAUUAUUGUCUGUCUGGUAUGACCAUCCAAUUAUCCAGAAUACAUUUGGCCAAUAAGCGAAUACCCUGUGUAAAGAACCCAAUAAUGCAGGACUCUUCUUAGAUGAUUACCUAUUUACACUGUUACAUGCACCCCCAUUAACUCUGAUUCCUUGGGUGAAACAACCAAUGCAAGUAAAUGACACUGUUAUUCCGUGGCUCACACACGGAUAUCGGCGUGUUUCCGUGAUGUGUCCACGGAUUUCGAGUUAAGCGUCCGACCGUAGUCAUUUCACGGAUUCCUGUGAGACCAUGUUGCAGGACCACUCAAAACUCGUUCAAGAAAAUCGUCAUUACAUUAAAAGUGUUGCAGAGGUGUUAUUGUUAACCGCCAC
Molecule: long non-coding RNA, 1499 nt
Filed under: Gadus morhua (Atlantic cod)
Lineage: Eukaryota; Metazoa; Chordata; Actinopteri; Gadiformes; Gadidae
Description: lncRNA (ENSGMOG00000025180.1)
Source: RNAcentral